Non-coding RNA from Paramuricea clavata, 2805 nucleotides. The record is from the annotation of a GenBank genome assembly. NCBI's taxonomy places the organism in Eukaryota, Metazoa, Cnidaria, Anthozoa, Malacalcyonacea, Plexauridae.
AGGGCUGUAUUCAAAAAUUAGCAGACUAUAUUGAAGAUCAUCUACUUAUCUUGGGUUCUGUUGGCCUGGGAGUUUCAAUAUUGCAAGUAAGUAUGAAAUUAUAUUGCUUUGUCUUGAUCUCCGGUUGUCUCCAUGGGCUGGUUGUUCGAAGGCUCGAAGCUGCGUGGAUUAGCGCCCUCAGCUAAAAUUUAACCUGCUGUUUUAGGCCGCGUUUAAACUACAACGCUACAACCAACAUUCCGUUAAAAAUUUAUACUACUUUCUAGUAUUGAGACUAUAUUGUAUUUACACUAUAACGGAGUGGUUUGACGUAGCGUACUAACUACAGAUCACUACAUUUGCCACUCUGAAUACAAAUCAAUUUCGUUAAAAAUUCACUACGUUUCUUAGUAUUGUGUUUAUACUAUAACGAAGUGGUUUAAUUGCCGUUGCGUAUUAACUACGGACCACUACGUUUCUUAGUAUUGUGUUUAUACUAUAACGAAGUGGUUUAAUUGCCGUUGCGUAUUAACUACGGAUCACUACGUUUCUUAGUAUUGUGUUUAUACUAUAACGAAGUGGUUUAAUUGCCGUUGCGUAUUAACUACGGACCACUACGUUUCUUAGUAUUGUGUUUAUACUAUAACGAAGUGGUUUAAUUGCCGUUGCGUAUUAACUACGGACCACUCCGACACUCCGGAUGCAAAUCACUACGCUACGGUAAUCCCGUAUAGCGUCAUAGUGUAAACGCGGCCUUAGUUUCUGUAUUUCAGAAAAACUUCAGAAAAUAAAACUUCCGUUGAUCCAGACAAGCAUCCUGGAAAAAUAUUUCCAUGUUCACAAACAAGAUGUUGAGACGAUUGCUUUGAAGAUUUUGUUAACCCCGGAUUAAGCUACUGUAUCUGACUUUUGAACAACCCGCCCCAGAUGAUUACUCCGGUGUCGCAGUAACACUGACUGAAGCAAUAAAGCUAACUAAAUCCCCGUUUACACUACGCUCAAUUUUUGGUACGGCACGGAUAAAAUUGGUACCCGUACCACUUUUUUCGUUCUUGGACUACCUAUUUAGCUAAGCCCCGUUUACACUACACUCAAUUUUUGGUACCGUACCAUUUUUUGGUUCUUGGACUACCUAUUUAGGUAGUCCAAGAACCAAAAAAGUGGUAUACGGGUACCAAUUUUAUCCGUGCCGUACCAAAAAUUGACCGUAGUGUAAACGGGGCUUAAAUCAUCGAGUAGUAAUUUUAACUAUAAACGUUUCUUUUUUUCACAGCUUCUUGGGCUAAUCGUGACAGCUUUGCUUAUCCAUCUGGUAGAAGAAUACUAAGACAUAACCAAGAAUAACUUUAAAUGAAGUGUUUGAUAUUUUUUAGCAAGGACGAAUUUUUAUAGACUUCGUUUGCAUUGUGGACAGUAUUACAUAGAAUAUAGACGUUGAGGCAGUCGAAUCUCCCACAGGCACUGAAGUGGAAGAGCAAAGUGUCUUGAUAAGUGAGGCGGCCACCGUCACUAUACAUCACUUAAAUGCCCGUUUACACUUGUAAUGUUUGCCGUGAUUUUAGGUGCAAUUUUCUCUGGGAAGUGGAUAAGUUAUGAAUGUUGAGAAGAGGGUACAUUGUCAUACAGUGCAGUAUAACUAAUCUUCUAAUCGGAAGAACAAAAUCGCGCUAGAAAUUGCGGUAAAAAGUUGCAAGGAUAAACUGGCCUUAAGACGUCACUGGCUGUUUUUGUCUCCUUUAACUGAAAUUAAAGAAAAGAACAUGCGCAAACCCACUCAUCAGCCAGUGUGUGCUGUACACGGUCUGUAUCGAAGGUCGUGGCAAAAUGUUGCGCCGUUGUCCGUGUUAGAGAGGGUUUCGUAUUGUAAAGGUUUAUUUCAGUGCGGACACGUCGCGAAAUACUGCUGGCGCGAAUUUUGGUUGGCAACAUAUGACCACUUUUCACUAGCUUGAUAACCUGUUCGCAGGCUAACUUUUCACUUUUGGCUGCAAACCUUACUUCUUUAAACUUUUUCAGAUUUCAUGCAAUAUUUAGCUUCAUUUCUUGCAUACCAAUGCUUUCAUGAAGAUUGAAAAACUAUUGUUGCAACUUUGUUACACAGUUAUUGAGCUAUCAUUCAAUGACAGUUGUCCACCGCCCUGGCCCACCUAGCGUCCGCUCUGACCCACCUAGCGUCCGCCCUGACCUAUCUAGCGUUCGCACUGGUAAUAGACAGGUGUUAGAGAUGUAUGUCUGUAUUAGGGGCUGUUCAUAUGAAGCCGGGCUGGCCCGAUUAACUGGAAUGAUUCGUUUAAUAAAGCUCUUAUCACGGCUUUGAUAAUUAUCUAAAAUGACGUUUCAAAGUUGAAUUAGCUUCGUUUGAUUCCAGUAACAGUAUAAAGAUCAUUCAAACGAUUUUUAUUGUCAGGAAGAAGUUCGUGACACGAUUAAUCCCGAUUAGCCGGAUGGCCUGGUUCAUAUGAACAACCCUUAGAGAUGUCAGAUGCGUCUGUAAGCAGAGGUCUGUAAGGAGAGAUUCGACUGUGAUAAUAUUGUAAGAAAUGAUAAAAAUCUCCUGCAAAUGUAGGCACCAGCACAGCCUGUUUUCCGCUAGUAGGUGACUUUGUUCGCGCGAAGCGACUUUUUCCUUUGCACUGACAAAGGUUUUAAAAACUGGGUUCGGCAAAAAUUGCCCUAGCGGAAAAGGGUUAUAUGGCUUAGACGCAGGAUACGCCCGAAUAAAACCACUUUCGCUUGCAGUCAUAUAAUGUGAUAGAGUUAUUGAAAUGUAGCAAAUGAAAUGUGAAGUUGUAUUCAGUUUGUAAUUAUAUUUCAGUUCUUGUUGUA